RNAcentral lists this ribosomal RNA (390 nucleotides) under uncultured Glomus. RNAcentral describes it as "SSU rRNA". It matches the Rfam family "Eukaryotic small subunit ribosomal RNA", at positions 569 to 966 of the family's 1831-position model. Lineage: Eukaryota; Fungi; Glomeromycota; Glomeromycetes; Glomerales; Glomeraceae. The record is from RNAcentral.
AGCAGCCGCGGUAAUUCCAGCUCCAAUAGCGUAUAUUAAAGUUGUUGCAGUUAAAAAGCUCGUAGUUGAAUUUCGGGAUCAAAUUGUCGGUCGUGCCUCGGUACGUACUGGCAUUAUUGAUUUCUCCUCUCUGAAGAACCAUGAUGUCAUUAAUUUGGUGUCUUGGGAAAUCAGGACUGUUACUUUGAAAAAUUGAGUGUUUAAAGCAGGCUCACGCUUGAAUACAUUAGCAUGGAAUAAUGAAAUAGGACGUUUGAUUCUAUUUUGUUGGUUUCUAGGAUCGACGUAAUGAUUAAUAGGGAUAGUUGGGGGCAUUAGUAUUCAAUUGUCAGAGGUGAAAUUCUUGGAUUUAUUGAAGACUAACUACUGCGAAAGCAUUUGCCAAGGAUG